Molecule: transfer RNA, 71 nt
Filed under: bacterium
Lineage: Bacteria
Also listed under: 2 other names
Description: tRNA-Met
Rfam family: tRNA
About the family: Transfer RNA (tRNA) molecules are approximately 80 nucleotides in length. Their secondary structure includes four short double-helical elements and three loops (D, anti-codon, and T loops). Further hydrogen bonds mediate the characteristic L-shaped molecular structure. tRNAs have two regions of fundamental functional importance: the anti-codon, which is responsible for specific mRNA codon recognition, and the 3' end, to which the tRNAs corresponding amino acid is attached (by aminoacyl-tRNA synthetases). tRNAs cope with the degeneracy of the genetic code in two manners: having more than one tRNA (with a specific anti-codon) for a particular amino acid; and 'wobble' base-pairing, i.e. permitting non-standard base-pairing at the 3rd anti-codon position.
Source: RNAcentral
AGCGGGGUAGAGCACCGGUAGCUCGACAGGCUCAUAACCUGUAGGAGGUGGUUCAAUUCCACCCCCCGCAA